AACGCACGAGACCUGCGGACCUGCGGAAGGAUCAUCGUGGAGGUGAGGGGAUAUUUUAGCCGUGUGAACGGUAGGUGGGUAGGGUGGGUGAGUGGGGCGCGCAUGGGCACCGCGAGUCGCGCGAGUCGCACAUGGGCACCACAUGUCACGCAUCCUGGCCUUCUCUGAUAACAACUGAUGCAUACACAUUCUAAACCUGCGUCGAGCUGGCGACCACAACCCAGCACGCUAACUAGUACA
This 240-nucleotide unclassified non-coding RNA is filed under the name soil metagenome. Its description in RNAcentral is "partial contains 5.8S ribosomal RNA, internal transcribed spacer 2, and large subunit ribosomal RNA". The record is from RNAcentral.